Long non-coding RNA from Astatotilapia calliptera (eastern happy), 1348 nucleotides. The record is from Ensembl. NCBI's taxonomy places the organism in Eukaryota, Metazoa, Chordata, Actinopteri, Cichliformes, Cichlidae.
CACAAGCAGUUUUCCAAGGACCAGGACUUCCCUCAGGUAAGUGUUACCAAAACAUGGAUUCAGACAAGUAUUUCCAUAGGAACUGGGAGGGUAAGGCUUGCAGUUAACCUUCCAGAACAGAGGAGUCUCCGAUGAGACUGAGGAAUUGGGACAGGAAAGUGCUGUCAGUAAGUGGAAAUGCGAAACAGGUUUGCCUGCUUGAGUCUUCCCUCGACCACACCGACUCCUGGAAAAGAACAUGCAUGCAACUUAUAGAGCUAGACAACAGAACUGCACCUGGAGGACAGGAAACUAUGACAUGAUUUGACCUUUCACCUUUUUAGACCUUCCCAAAGCUUCCUUUCUGUCUAAUCCAACCAUAAAGGGCAUGUUAAUCGAUUAUUAACCAGGUACUGACAGGAACACUGAGACAGGUUUGCUUGUUGUAAUUUAAUUUGCUGUUGUAAUUGUAAUUUAAUUUAAUAAUUGUAUUUGAUCCAAGUCUCUGGUACACUAACUGUCAGUAUUUUUCAGCAUAAGGAUGCAUCACCUGAAAAAAGCAUAUUAGAAGUUGCCACUCCAAGCCCCGGGCAUCAAUAAAGUCAAUCCACGUCAAAGCGUACCAAAGCCUUCUUAAAUAGCACAGCUCUGCCCCCUCUCACUUCUAUCUGCUGUAAAUUUGAAAGCUUUUUAUUUUUUAUUUUUUUUUGCAAGGUCCCAGAAGAUAGACUGUUGCACAUGUUACUGCUCACAGCAGAAAACAGGCCAAGUGUUUUCAAGUGUUCAUGGGUGUUGUUUUGUAGGGGAAUCUUGCCCAUCACAGGGGAACCUGAACUUGUUUUCCCUCCACACACAUGGCCAUCCCACCGCUCAUAGGCUCAUCAGCCUUCUGUAUAAUUAUAUUGCUUAUAAAGAAUUCAAUAUUUUGUUUUAACUGCGAUAAGAUCGAAGCUUUAAGUAGAAUUAGACUGUGCCUGACCAAUUGGUGUAAAAACUUUAGGGCCAAGAACUCGUGACUGUACUGCCUGACUUUGUUCUAAAGUUUUUCAGGGUGGGAUCUCACCUGUCAGAGGUGAACCUCCACUGUUUUUAUUUUUUAACAAAAUUCUCAAAAACUUGCACAAAGUCUUUAUCUCCACAUUCUUAUCUCUAGUUAAACCACAUCCAAACAGUUUUCUCACACAGUGUCCCUGCUCACACCGAGGACAAGGCCAAGUAUCUGUAGGCCACCCCACAGUGUCCCUCAUAGGUUCAUCUGCUUGGGUUUUACUUAGUAGAGAAAAAUGCAGGUAACUAAAAGACACACACACACACACACACACACACACACACACACACACACACACACACACACACACACACACACACA